This 1195-nucleotide long non-coding RNA is filed under the name Olea europaea (common olive). Its description in RNAcentral is "long non-coding RNA (OEUR_LNC012949)". Lineage: Eukaryota; Viridiplantae; Streptophyta; Magnoliopsida; Lamiales; Oleaceae. The record is from RNAcentral.
AGUGUUCUGUGUCUACCAUAAUGCAUAUCGUUAGUUAACAAGCUGAAUGAGUAAAAUGUAGCAAUAAUGAAAAUCUUAAAGAUAUGAUGAAUCAUGUUAAAAUUAUGCCCCUUUUUGACAACCAUUAAAACAAAACUUUUUUCUCAAACUCAUUUACAACCACACAUUCUCACAAUAAAAUAUUCACAUAAACCCAAAACUUUUUCCUACUUUCAAAAAAUUACUAUUCAAAAACUCAUUUUCCCUAAAAAUUCUUUUUAAUGGUUGUCAAACAGGGACUAUGUUGGAAAGUUGAAAGCUAAAUGGAAGAAACAGACUAGAUAAGUUUUUGACAAUUACUAAGAAUAUAAUCAUUACAACUGUGAAAUGAGAAUCUAUCAGUCAAUCCAGUUUACUUAACUGAGUUCAUGACAGUAUAUAUCUCAUAUAUCCAGGAACAGUUCCACCUCAAAAAGAAGUGAUAUGCAUAUCAAUUUCUUCAAUAAAAGAGAGAGACCGUAGAUACACAUGAAAUUUCUAUUUUAAGAAGGCGGAAAUUUAUAUUUUGACUCAAAAGAUAUACUUUAACAUGAUUUCCUGAUCAUAUAUUGAAAAAGUUCGCUUAAUUGCUUCAACCAUCGAUGAGGACUCAGUCAAUCAGUUAAAUGACUUUAGGCCAUUUGAUGAUAAAUUUGACAAGUCCAACUGCAACCAGAAAUGUUGUGGACUAUAUCAAUCACUUCCAUAAAAUAAAAAAAGAACUCUUCAACCUGAAUUAUUAGGAAGUUAUCUCUAUCCAUUGCAGUGAGGGGAGAAAUUUCAAAUCUGACAAGAAGAAUGGCAUUUGCUUUUGGGGGACAUUCUUGAUAGACAACUGAUGCACUAUAUGGACACCAAUGAUAUUUAUAAGCUCAACUCAAGUUACAAGUCAUGCAAGAAAAUAUAAAUAUAAAUAUAAAACCAUGGAACUUAAUUGAAACUGACAGUGUUGAUAUACUCCUUAUUAAAAAAAGGACAUGCUUAUUUCAAAAGCCUCUUGGAUAUGUUACUCUCUUGAAGACAUGCUGUGGGCUUGCUUGUUUGAUUAAUUCAAAUAUCCAUAGUAAGAGAUGUUGGUUGAAAAACAAACUUCUCUCUAGCAAGAUUCGUUGGCAUGAAUGAACGCAUAUUUUGGAAACAAUUGGUUUGAUAGCUAUUAUCUACAGUUCUCUUUCAG